This 186-nucleotide non-coding RNA is filed under the name Listeria aquatica. RNAcentral's name for it is "Lysine sequence". It matches the Rfam family "Lysine riboswitch aptamer". From Rfam's summary of the family: Riboswitches are metabolite binding domains within certain messenger RNAs that serve as precision sensors for their corresponding targets. Allosteric rearrangement of mRNA structure is mediated by ligand binding, and this results in modulation of gene expression. The record is from RNAcentral. Lineage: Bacteria; Bacillati; Bacillota; Bacilli; Caryophanales; Listeriaceae.
UGGUGAGGUAGAGGUUGCAGCGAUCACUAGUAAACUUUUGGAGGCGCGCGAAACGCCAGUGAAGAAAGUUAAACAGGAAAGUUGCCGAAGUGAGAUAAAUUUUGCGGUUUAUUUUGCUGGGACAGUUUGCGAAAGCAGCUGGACUGCUACUAAAACAGUCAUUUUAGUAGGUGCGCUAUCUGACAA